Trifolium pratense (red clover) is the source of this 683-nucleotide long non-coding RNA. RefSeq lists it as uncharacterized. The record is from RefSeq and is a predicted model, not a curated record. The transcript is spliced from 2 exons. Lineage: Eukaryota; Viridiplantae; Streptophyta; Magnoliopsida; Fabales; Fabaceae.
UGUACUAUUUUCACAUUUUUUUUGUCGAGAAAAUUGCACUAUAUUUUAUCUUUCAAGCUUUCUAAGCUCUAAGCCUCUAACCCUUCAUUUUCUCUAAACCAUGAAAAUUAUCUUUAUUAGUGUAGUAAAGGACAAACAAAACGCAUUGAUAUACUUAAGAGUCAUUUAAUCACAAUUCUAAUUUUUGAAUGAAUUUUUUAAAUCUCCUUAAGAGCUUUUUUUUUUUUUUACUCACCAUAAGAGCUAAUUAAAAACUAUGUAAUUGAUAUAAGGACAUAAUCAGAUUGAGAAAUUAUAAAGUGAUAAAGUCAUUUGUUAGAUGCAAAUGAGGGAAAUAUGUUUGAAAUUGUCAAAUUUAUUUAUGUUAUGAUUAUCUUUCUUGCAAUAUUUUUUGUUUCAAAGAAUGUAAACGGUUAUAGCUGUAGAUCGGAAUAUGAAUGUCUAAACAGGCGUUGUGUUGAGCCUCUUGUACCAAGGUGUAUUAGUUCUAGAUGUCAAUGUGGAUAUAAACCACUUCCGAAAUUAAUGUUGUUUUAGUUCUUGUACCCAAAUAAUUUUAUAUUUAAAAAACAAAUCUUUCUAAUUUCAAGAACCUUGAAAUUUUGUAUUUGUACUUUAAAUUGGUGAUAAUUCAAAGGCAAAAAACAAGAGAUUACAAAAUUAGAAUCUCAUUCUCAUCUUAA